GGGAAUAGUUCAGCUGGUAGAACGUUGGUCUCCAAAACCAAAUGUCGUGGGUUCAAAUCCUGCUUCCC
RNAcentral lists this transfer RNA (68 nucleotides) under human gut metagenome. It matches the Rfam family "tRNA". From Rfam's summary of the family: Transfer RNA (tRNA) molecules are approximately 80 nucleotides in length. Their secondary structure includes four short double-helical elements and three loops (D, anti-codon, and T loops). The record is from RNAcentral.